GAGCUGUGAUGAGAUUUGGAGAUUGUCAUGCACCACUCUUACAAAUUUUAUUUGAGUGAUGAUAAAUCUUUCAUACCCAUUUUGCUUCUGAGCUC
This is a small nucleolar RNA of Solanum dulcamara, 95 nucleotides long. RefSeq annotates it as small nucleolar RNA Z221/R21b. The record is from RefSeq and is a predicted model, not a curated record. The transcript has a single exon. NCBI's taxonomy places the organism in Eukaryota, Viridiplantae, Streptophyta, Magnoliopsida, Solanales, Solanaceae.